GACGAAGGGGGCUAGCGUUGUUCGGAAUUACUGGGCGUAAAGAGCUCGUAGGUGGUUUGUCGCGUUGUUCGUGAAAACUCACAGCUCAACUGUGGGCGUGCGGGCGAUACGGGCAGACUGGAGUACUGCAGGGGAGACUGGAAUUCCUGGUGUAGCGGUGGAAUGCGCAGAUAUCAGGAGGAACACCGGUGGCGAAGGCGGGUCUCUGGGCAGUAACUGACGCUGAGGAGCGAAAGCGUGGGGAGCGAACAGG
RNAcentral lists this ribosomal RNA (253 nucleotides) under uncultured bacterium. RNAcentral's name for it is "partial 16S ribosomal RNA". It matches the Rfam family "Bacterial small subunit ribosomal RNA", at positions 524 to 776 of the family's 1533-position model. The record is from RNAcentral.